GCCCGCUUAGCUCAGUGGUAGAGCGCGCCACUCGUAGGUCGCCGUCACGUGACCAGGUUAUGGUGAGGUCGGUUGUUCAAACCAGCCAGCGGGCA
This 95-nucleotide transfer RNA is filed under the name Agrocybe pediades. RNAcentral describes it as "tRNA-Thr". It matches the Rfam family "tRNA". Rfam says of the family: Transfer RNA (tRNA) molecules are approximately 80 nucleotides in length. Their secondary structure includes four short double-helical elements and three loops (D, anti-codon, and T loops). Lineage: Eukaryota; Fungi; Basidiomycota; Agaricomycetes; Agaricales; Agrocybaceae. The record is from RNAcentral.